GGGGCCGUAGCCCAAUUGGCAGAGGCACACGGUUUAGGUCCGUGCCAGUGUGGGUUCGACUCCCACCGGCCCCA
RNAcentral lists this transfer RNA (74 nucleotides) under Crossiella cryophila. It matches the Rfam family "tRNA". Rfam says of the family: Transfer RNA (tRNA) molecules are approximately 80 nucleotides in length. Their secondary structure includes four short double-helical elements and three loops (D, anti-codon, and T loops). Further hydrogen bonds mediate the characteristic L-shaped molecular structure. tRNAs have two regions of fundamental functional importance: the anti-codon, which is responsible for specific mRNA codon recognition, and the 3' end, to which the tRNAs corresponding amino acid is attached (by aminoacyl-tRNA synthetases). tRNAs cope with the degeneracy of the genetic code in two manners: having more than one tRNA (with a specific anti-codon) for a particular amino acid; and 'wobble' base-pairing, i.e. permitting non-standard base-pairing at the 3rd anti-codon position. The record is from Rfam by way of RNAcentral. RNAcentral also lists the same sequence under 7 other names. Lineage: Bacteria; Bacillati; Actinomycetota; Actinomycetes; Pseudonocardiales; Pseudonocardiaceae.